CCUACGGGAGGCAGCAGUGAGGAAUAUUGGUCAAUGGACGAGAGUCUGAACCAGCCAAGUAGCGUGAAGGAUGACUGCCCUAUGGGUUGUAAACUUCUUUUAUAAAGGAAUAAAACGAGGCACGUGUGCCUUUUUGCAAGUACUUUAUGAAUAAGGAUCGGCUAACUCCGUGCCAGCAGCCGCGGUAAUACGGAGGAUCCGAGCGUUAUCCGGAUUGAUUGGGUUUAAAGGGAGCGUAGAUGGGUUGUUAAGUCAGUUGUGAAAGUUUGAGGCUCAACCGUAAAAUUGCAAUUGAUACUGGCAGUCUUGAGUACAGUUGAGGUAGGCGGAAUUCGUGGUGUAGCGGUGAAAUGCUUAGAUAUCACGAAGAACCCCGAUUGCGAAGGCAGCUUACUAAACUGUGACUGACAUUGAUGCUCGAAAGUGUGGGUAUCAAACAGGAUUAGAUACCCGUGUAGUC
Molecule: ribosomal RNA, 460 nt
Filed under: uncultured bacterium
Lineage: Bacteria
Description: partial 16S ribosomal RNA
Rfam family: Bacterial small subunit ribosomal RNA
Source: RNAcentral